RNAcentral lists this transfer RNA (65 nucleotides) under Dipodomys ordii (Ord's kangaroo rat). It matches the Rfam family "tRNA". Rfam says of the family: Transfer RNA (tRNA) molecules are approximately 80 nucleotides in length. Their secondary structure includes four short double-helical elements and three loops (D, anti-codon, and T loops). Further hydrogen bonds mediate the characteristic L-shaped molecular structure. tRNAs have two regions of fundamental functional importance: the anti-codon, which is responsible for specific mRNA codon recognition, and the 3' end, to which the tRNAs corresponding amino acid is attached (by aminoacyl-tRNA synthetases). tRNAs cope with the degeneracy of the genetic code in two manners: having more than one tRNA (with a specific anti-codon) for a particular amino acid; and 'wobble' base-pairing, i.e. permitting non-standard base-pairing at the 3rd anti-codon position. The record is from Rfam by way of RNAcentral. Lineage: Eukaryota; Metazoa; Chordata; Mammalia; Rodentia; Heteromyidae.
GGUGGCUCAGUGGUAGAGUGCUUGCUUUGCAUGCAUGAGGUCCUGGGUUCGAUUCCCCAGCACCA